RNAcentral lists this ribosomal RNA (253 nucleotides) under uncultured bacterium. RNAcentral describes it as "partial 16S ribosomal RNA". It matches the Rfam family "Bacterial small subunit ribosomal RNA", at positions 524 to 776 of the family's 1533-position model. The record is from RNAcentral.
UACAGAGGGGGCAAGCGUUGUUCGGAAUUACUGGGCGUAAAGGGCGCGUAGGCGGCCUGCUAAGUCGAACGUGAAAUCCCCGGGCUCAACCCGGGAACUGCGUCCGAUACUGACAGGCUCGAAUCCGGGAGAGGGAUGUGGAAUUCCAGGUGUAGCGGUGAAAUGCGUAGAUAUCUGGAGGAACACCGGUGGCGAAGGCGGCAUCCUGGACCGGCAUUGACGCUGAGGCGCGAAAGCCAGGGGAGCAAACGGG